UACGAAGGGGGCUAGCGUUGCUCGGAUUGACUGGGCGUAAAGGGCGCGUAGGCGGUUCGUACAGUCAGACGUGAAAUCCCCGGGCUCAACCUGGGAAUGGCAUUGGAUACUGGCUCGCUAGAGUGCGGUAGAGGGUGGUGGAAUUCCCGGUGUAGCAGUGAAAUGCGUAGAGAUCGGGAGGAACAUCUGUGGCGAAGGCGGCCACCUGGACCAGCACUGACACUGAGGCACGAAAGCGUGGGGAGCAAACAGG
RNAcentral lists this ribosomal RNA (253 nucleotides) under uncultured bacterium. RNAcentral describes it as "partial 16S ribosomal RNA". It matches the Rfam family "Bacterial small subunit ribosomal RNA", at positions 524 to 776 of the family's 1533-position model. The record is from RNAcentral.